UGACCUCCGCUGAGGCCAUGAGCAUGAACUACUGAUCCAAAAGCACAGACUGAGCCUCACCCAUGGGCUCCCAGGUCUCUGCUGACAUCCACUGUCACCUGCCUCCAGCAGGAGGGACAUUCAUGCCUCAGCCUGCCCCGGUGACCUUGGGAUUCUUGUGGGAAUUCCUACUGAGGCGAGGUGACGUCUGAAAGCAGAACCCGGUGGUCAACGUCAAGUCACCCGACCUCACCGAGUCGACAAAUAUUUGUUGGGCAUCUGGCGUGUGCCGCUGCAGUCAACGAGAAAGUCCGGGGAGCUUUCGUUCUCGUAGGGGAGGUUAACGUAAACGCUAAUAAAUACCAUAAAAAUGAUCA
RNAcentral lists this long non-coding RNA (356 nucleotides) under Felis catus (domestic cat). Its description in RNAcentral is "lncRNA (ENSFCAG00000044288.2)". Lineage: Eukaryota; Metazoa; Chordata; Mammalia; Carnivora; Felidae. The record is from RNAcentral.